UAGAGUUUGAUCCUGGCUCAGAUUGAACGCUGGCGGCAGGCCUAACACAUGCAAGUCGAACGGUAGCACAGAGAGCUUGCUCUCGGGUGACGAGUGGCGGACGGGUGAGUAAUGUCAGGGAAACUGCCUGAUGGAGGGGGAUAACUACUGGAAACGGUAGCUAAUACCGCAUAACGUCGCAAGACCAAAGAGGGGGACCUUCGGGCCUCUUGCCAUCGGAUGUGCCCAGAUGGGAUUAGCUUGUUGGUGAGGUAACGGCUCACCAAGGCGACGAUCCCUAGCUGGUCUGAGAGGAUGACCAGCCACACUGGAACUGAGACACGGUCCACACUCCUACGGGAGGCAGCAGUGGGGAAUAUUGCACAAUGGGCGCAAGCCUGAUGCAGCCAUGCCGCGUGUAUGAAGAAGGCCUUCGGGUUGUAAAGUACUUUCAGCGAGGAGGAAGGCGGUAAGGUUAAUAACCUUAUCGAUUGACGUUACUCGCAGAAGAAGCACCGGCUAACUCCGUGCCAGCAGCCGCGGUAAUACGGAGGGUGCAAGCGUUAAUCGGAAUUACUGGGCGUAAAGCGCGCGCACGCGGUCUGUCAAGUCGGAUGUGAAAUCCCCGGGCUCAACCUGGGAACUGCAUUCGAAACUGGCAGGCUAGAGUCUUGUAGAGGGGGGUAGAAUUCCAGGUGUAGCGGUGAAAUGCAUAGAGAUCUGGAGGAUACCGGUGGCGAAGGCGGUCCCCCUGGACUAAGACUGACGCUCACUGCGAAGCGUGGCGGGAGCAAACAGGAUUAAAUACCCUGGCUAGUCCACGCCGUAACGAUGUCGACUUGGAUGUUGUGCCCUGAAGCUUUGCUUCCCGGAGCUACGCAUUAAGUCGACCCGCCUGGGGAGUACAGCCGCAGGUUCAA
This 899-nucleotide ribosomal RNA is filed under the name uncultured bacterium. RNAcentral describes it as "bacterial SSU rRNA". It matches the Rfam family "Bacterial small subunit ribosomal RNA", at positions 1 to 898 of the family's 1533-position model. The record is from RNAcentral.